AUUGAACGCUGGCGGCAUGCUUUACACAUGCAAGUCGAACGGCAGCGCGGGCUUCGGCCUGGCGGCGAGUGGCGAACGGGUGAGUAAUACAUCGGAACGUGCCCAGUAGUGGGGGAUAGCUCGGCGAAAGCCGGAUUAAUACCGCAUACGACCUGAGGGUGAAAGCGGGGGAUCUUCGGACCUCGCGCUAUUGGAGCGGCCGAUGGCAGAUUAGCUAGUUGGUGGGGUAAAGGCCUACCAAGGCGACGAUCUGUAGCUGGUCUGAGAGGACGACCAGCCACACUGGGACUGAGACACGGCCCAGACUCCUACGGGAGGCAGCAGUGGGGAAUUUUGGACAAUGGGCGAAAGCCUGAUCCAGCAAUGCCGCGUGUGUGAUGAAGGCCUUCGGGUUGUAAAGCACUUUGGGCGGGAACGAAAAGGACUGUGCCAAUACCACGGUUCGAUGACGGUACCCGCAGAAUAAGCACCGGCUAACUACGU
Molecule: ribosomal RNA, 483 nt
Filed under: uncultured bacterium
Lineage: Bacteria
Description: partial 16S ribosomal RNA
Rfam family: Bacterial small subunit ribosomal RNA
Source: RNAcentral